CUUGGUCAUUUAGAGGAAGUAAAAGUCGUAACAAGGUUUCCGUAGGUGAACCUGCGGAAGGAUCAUUCACAAACGAGUGUUUUAUGGCACUCUUUAAAAAUCCAUAUCCACCUUGUGUGCAAUGUUUGUUGGGAAAGUCUUUUCUUUCCCUUCAUAAAUAUCAACCUAUAUCUUUAACAACAUUCGUCUGAUAACAUAUUAUGAAUAUACUUAAUUCAAAAUAUAACUUUCAACAACGGAUCUCUUGGCUCUCGCAUCGAUGAAGAACGCAGCGAAAUGCGAUACGUAAUGUGAAUUGCAGAAUUCAGUGAAUCAUCGAAUCUUUGAACGCAUAUUGCGCUCUUUGGUAUUCCGAAGAGCAUGCUUGUUUGAGUAUCAGUAAACACCUCAACCUCCUCUUGAUUUUUCAAAAGGAGGGUGGACUUGAGCUAUCCCAACAACCUUUACCGGUAGGCGGGCGGCUUGAAAUGCUGGUGCAGCUGGACUUUUAUCUGAGCUAAAAGCAUAUCUAUUUAGUCCUCGUCAAACAGGAUUAUUACUAUUGCUGCAGCUAACAUAAAGGAUAAUUGUCCUCAUUGCUGACUGAUGCAGGAUUUUACGACACUUUAUGUGUUGUUCAACUCGAUCUCAAAUCAAGUAAGACUACCCGCUGAACUUAAGCAUAUCAAUAAGCGGAGGA
RNAcentral lists this ribosomal RNA (679 nucleotides) under uncultured Mortierella. RNAcentral's name for it is "eukaryotic LSU rRNA". The stretch from base 225 to 378 matches the Rfam family "5.8S ribosomal RNA". The record is from RNAcentral. Lineage: Eukaryota; Fungi; Mortierellomycota; Mortierellomycetes; Mortierellales; Mortierellaceae.